RNAcentral lists this unclassified non-coding RNA (1516 nucleotides) under Anneissia japonica. Its description in RNAcentral is "p2X purinoceptor 4-like, transcript variant X3". The record is from RNAcentral. Lineage: Eukaryota; Metazoa; Echinodermata; Crinoidea; Comatulida; Comatulidae.
GAGGAUUAAUAGUAUAUCGCAUACGGGGCGGUCUUGGAUUUGUAUGCGGUUGCUUUAAAAGUAGUAGUAGUAGGAGGCCUACAUAUAAUUAGCUAAAUAUGCCGUUUACAGAAACAGUACAAUCCUGGGGAAAGAUAGCUAUAGAUUCAGCAUUAGAAUACGAUACACCAAAAGUAGUGCAUAUCAAGAGCAAGAAAGUCGGCUUUAUCAAUCGCUUGAUUCAGAUUGGUGUUAUUGUUUAUGUUGUCGUAUGGGCUAUCAUACUCCAAAAAGGAUACCAGGAAACAGAUGAAGUUAUUAGUGCUGUUACAACCAAGCUCAAGGGAGUUGCCUACACAAACAUAACAAACCACCCCAACCUAAAUAUUGAAGAUGUCACCCCAUACAAUAGAAUCUGGGAUCCAGUGGAUUAUGUCAUACCCCCAAUGAUGGACAAUGCAUUCUUUGUGAUGACAAAUAUGGUAAUAACACCUGAGCAAUCAAGAGGAAGAUGUGCUGAGGAUCCAUUAAUGUAUGGUGUCAGAUGUGAAGAUAAUCCUGAUCUUAAUUGUGUCAAAGGUGACCCUGUCCCUAAUGGAAAUGGUGUUAAAACUGGUGAUUGUGUUACUUACAUUUUCCCUAAUGGAUCAAAAACAAAAACUUGUGAAAUUGAAGCUUGGUGCCCAGUGGAAUAUGAUGAGACUCCACUUCAGAAUGAAGCUGUGUUAGCGGCAGCUCGUAACUUCACAGUCCUCAUAAAGAACAGUGUUAGCUAUCGGAAGUUCAAUUUUGAAAAACGAAAUAUCGCUGAGAGCGCCAAUAAAUCAUACCUUACGACCUGUCGCUACAGCACCCACGCAAAUCCAUUUUGCCCAGUGUUUCGCUUGGAAGAUAUAGUAGCAGAGACUGGUGAAGAUUUUGAAAGGAUAGCAUAUCAGGGAGGUGUGGUAGGAAUUUUUAUAAACUGGGAUUGCAACUUAGAUAAAAACUGGGAUGACUGUCGACCACAAUAUUCUUUUAGAAGACUUGAUAAUAAAGAAGCCAAAAUAGCCAAAGGAUAUAACUUUAGGUUUGGACAUUUUUAUGUAAUAAAUGACACAGAUUAUCGAACUCUAACAAAGGCAUAUGGUAUCUUGUUUGAGGUAAUUGUGACAGGGACAGCAGGAAAGUUCAACUUCAUUCCAUUGACAACCAACCUAGGAGCAGGACUUGCCCUUCUCUCUAUUGCAACUGUGAUGUGUGACAUCAUCACUUUUUACAUCCUGAGAAAGGGGACUUAUUACAAAAGCAAGAAAUACCUGUACGUGGAGAAUGUUGAUAGUGACGAGUAUAAUCCUUACAGACGCUUCCCUGAUGCUGCAACCUCUGAACCUCAAACACCUGGUACAAAGUAAUUCUUCUGAUAUCCAGCUUUGGUCACAAGAUGAGAACUAGUCUAGAAAAUUACAGAAAUCAUAAAUUUGAAAAUGAGGGACAAUCAAUAUCAACAGCCACUCCAGCAAGGUCCACUAACAUGGGUCCACUGACCGCAGGUCAA